Molecule: ribosomal RNA, 102 nt
Filed under: Shewanella sp. SR43-4
Lineage: Bacteria; Pseudomonadati; Pseudomonadota; Gammaproteobacteria; Alteromonadales; Shewanellaceae
Description: partial 16S ribosomal RNA
Rfam family: Bacterial small subunit ribosomal RNA
Source: RNAcentral
UUAACCUUCGGGAGAACGCUCACCACUUUGUGGUUCAUGACUGGGGUGAAGUCGUAACAAGGUAGCCCUAGGGGAACCUGGGGCUGGAUCACCUCCUUACCU